GACAGAGGGUGCAAACGUUGUUCGGAAUUACUGGGCGUAAAGCGCGUGUAGGCUGCUCCGCAAGUCGGAUGUGAAAGCCCUGGGCUCAACCUAGGAAGUGCACUCGAAACUUCGGAGCUGGAGUCCUGGAGAGGAAGGCGGAAUUCUCGGUGUAGAGGUGAAAUUCGUAGAUAUCGAGAGGAACACCGGUGGCGAAGGCGGCCUUCUGGACAGUGACUGACGCUGAGACGCGAAAGCGUGGGGAGCAAACAGG
Molecule: ribosomal RNA, 253 nt
Filed under: uncultured bacterium
Lineage: Bacteria
Description: partial 16S ribosomal RNA
Rfam family: Bacterial small subunit ribosomal RNA
Source: RNAcentral